UGGAUACAGGAAGGUCUCAUAGGUCUUGGAGUUGGUGUCCUCUAUGGAACUACAAGUGUAGCUGUUGGGCAUCCUUUUGAUACCAUCAAGACAAAGAUGCAGGCACAGAGAGGAUUUGAAACAGAAGGGAUGAUCAAAUCAUUUGUGAAGACAGUUAGAACACAAGGCAUUAGAGGGCUUUAUAGAGGGUGUAUUCCGCCUCUUUGGGGAUCAGGAAUCUACAGGUCUAGUCAGUUUGCUGUAUUCGAGGCCUUGUGAGUAGAAACAAAAGUGUAACAUCUCCAUCUACAUAGUAGCACGUGAUUAUGUACGACUGUUCACUACUACUAGCCUAUGGACUACAUGUACAAUUAUAGUGAAGGCAUCAAUUUGAGCCUAGUAGGCCAUCACACCAGCACUUAUAUUGCAGGGCUGCCGUACAUUAACAAUAAAUUUACUAGUGAUAUGUAGUACAUUGUAUACAGUGGUUUUUGCCAUGUGUGCAUGCUCAUUAAAGUAUUCUCUUGUGUCCGCCAUCUUGAGUUACACGCGUGUGUUCUUCCUCUCCAAAAACAUAACAUUUCUGGUGACACGGAUGCUGCAAUAUGACCAGCUUAGGGAGGAUUGAAGAGUUCGACCCUAAGAAUACAAAUAUCGACCACUACUUGGAUC
Long non-coding RNA from Orbicella faveolata, 651 nucleotides. Lineage: Eukaryota; Metazoa; Cnidaria; Anthozoa; Scleractinia; Merulinidae. The record is from RefSeq and is a predicted model, not a curated record.